This is an RNA transcript of Chlorocebus sabaeus (green monkey), 5220 nucleotides long. RefSeq lists it as uncharacterized. NCBI's taxonomy places the organism in Eukaryota, Metazoa, Chordata, Mammalia, Primates, Cercopithecidae. The record is from RefSeq and is a predicted model, not a curated record.
GCCCUUGCCCAUCAAGCCCCGCCCCACCCACGGGCCCGUCCAGCCCCACACGGUCCCCUGGCCCCUCAAGCCCCGCCCAGGCCCCGGCUCAUCGUGACUCGCCCCACCCCUCGGUCCCUCAAGCCUCGCCCCGCCCCCUGGCCCGUCAAGCCCCGCCUACUCCCCGGGCCAUCAUGCCUCGCCCCACCCCCCGCCCCCUCAAGCCCCGCCCUGUCCUCGGCCAGGCGCGUCCUGCGGGACGGGUGCGGGUGCCUCCGGGCUCUGAGCGUUCGGCGGCGGCGGUUGCUCUGCAAAAGGGGAGUUACCGGUGAUGAGAAGCAGUGAGAGCUUAUUGGUAUACUGUGCAAAUGAAGAAGGAUGAAGAAGUGAAGACUGCUCUCGCGGUCCUCGUCCCGGAAUCAUUUAAGUCGACGUUUGGAUGAGUUUCCCCCCAAACACGUGCGAGGCGCGCGGAGCGGGUGGAGGAGGCGAACCGUGGGCGUGGUCAGGAGCCGCGCUCCGCAGGGACGCCUGAGGAGCCGGGAGGGCCGGGGAGACGCCUGAGGGGAUGACGGGCAGUCCAGGCUCAGGCUGGGCAGCCGAAGAGCGCAGGCUGGACGGGGAGGGGGGGAUCGGAAGUAGUAGUUUAAAUGUGUCAACGUUUUACCGGCAGACCGGGCCCGGGGGUUCCAGGAGCCACCACGGGGUAGAGAAACAGUAGGAAUUGCAAGAGCCCGCCUGUAGAAACGUGUCGUCCCGGGGGAAGGAAGCGGCCGGGGAAGUGGGCCGCCUGCUCGCCGGGAGCCGGAGUCCUCGGGGAAAGGAGGCAAUUGUCAGUGAAGCUCCUACAAACAUCUGUGUGCAGGUUUUUGGGUGGACAUGUUUGCAACUCCUUUGGAUGGAUACCAAGAAGCAUGAUUGCUGGAUCAUAUAGUAACAGAUGGUGGGGAACGUGGUAAGACCAGUGACUUCCAUGAGCCUGUGCCCAUUGCUGCACUUUUUUUUGCUGUGAAGUGAGUGCCUUGAUCAGAACAGUGAAAUGGCCUUUUGAAGACUCAGAUACAGUGUCAGGGAAGUGCUUCCACCAGGGAAAACAAAAGUGAUUCCACUGAACUCUCAGUUAAGAUGCCACCCAGCCAGUUUGGGCUCCUCAUGCUUCUGAAUCAACAGGCUAAGAAGGGAGCUGCUGUGUUUUUUCGGAUGAUUGGUGCUGGCUACCAAGGGAAAAUUGGGCUGCUACUCCCCCACGGAGUUUUGGGCCAUUAUGAAUGAGGCUGAGGUUUCGAAGCGGGGCCACAGUCCUUGACACUCUCACCAGAAAUGGUUUCUACAGCCCCGCCCACUGGAGCCAGUUCAUUUGUGGGAAUUCUGUGUAUAUUCCACGUACAAGACAUCUGUCAGAUAAAUGAGUUGUGAAUAUUUUCCCCAGUCUACGUGACGUUAGUAGUUUUCAGAGCUCCACAGAUGACUCCAGCAUGUAGCCAAGGUUGAGACCAUUGGCCUAGUGCUUUUUUCGUUCUUUUCCUGGAAGGACAAAGCUGGGGUCCAGUAUGGAGGUUGGGAAUCAAAUCGCCUGGCUUUGACUUGCCUCGAACACUUGCCUACCAUGUGACCCUCGGCAGGUCACUUAAAAUGACCUAAAAUGACUUCUCACCUCCAUUUUCUCACCUCUCAGAUGGGGUUGAGAAUCGGGCUCUAGAAAGACUGUUUUAAUAAUUAAGUGAUCGUAAGCAGGUGUCUCUGCUGCCACUACAUGCACAGAUUAUGAUAUUUGCAGGACAGUAUCAGGUUUCAACUUAAAAUUUCUCAUAGUUACAGAGAAUAUCUUCUAUUUUAGGCAAAAUUUUCAGAUCACCAAUAUUUACCAUAGAUGAAAGACUAGGAGUGUGGGGGUUAUUAUAACGCUUUAGAUACGUGAGGAAAUUGUACAAAAUAAUAUCUCCAUGGGGUAUUUAUUUGUUUUUUAAUGCCUUGUACUUCAAGUGAAAGAAAGGAAUGGAGGACAGACAGUGCAGGCAGCAAGGGCUGGCAGUGGCACGGAGUCUGGCAUUGCAGAUACCCUAAAUGCAAACCUUUGAGGCUGAAAUGGGCACGAGACAUGUCACAUAUUCAGCAAUCCUAAAUCAGUUCACUCUCAUACUUGUAUUCUCUGAGAAUCGAAGCUCAUGUCUGCAAGCAACUGUCUAAGCCUGCGACAACAUACAGCUUCAGGUCACAUCAACACAGGAAUCAAUCCACACUAAACGUAUGUGACCUUAUUAUCGUCGUGCUUUAAUCAGAGCAAUGUACAUUUAUAGAAUGCUUUCAUGUAUGUAUUUUAGGCUGAUUUAUAGCAACUGUGUAAGGAAAUGUUGGAAGAGAUUAUUAGGAUCAUCUCAGUUUUGCAGAUAAAGAAGCUGAGGCUCAGAGGUCACAUGGUUAGUAAGGCUCAGAGCUGGCACAAGGAGCCAGAUCUUCCAACUCCAAGUCCGGCACCUUUGCACACCACACCAGGGCUUCUCAAACUGCAGCUCACUUCUACAGCUCACCUGGGGGUCUUGUUAAAAUGCAGAUUCUCACACAAUAGGUCUGGGAUGGGGCCAAGUGCUUCUUUUUCUGAUAAGCUUCAGGUAGUGCUGAUACUGAUCCAUGGAUCAUAUUGUGAGUGGCCAGGCACUACACCACGCUCCAUUUCAGUCAAUCAACUAGUCGUAUGCCUGGUUCUUCAAUAGUUGUCAUUAUACACUGCCGACUGCAGAACAAAAACCACUUCCAGGUUGCCUUUCAGCUGGGUAUCACCUUCCAAGGGUAAGUCCCACUGAUGAGCCCAACUGCAGCUUUGUUCUCCUUAGAUGUGCUCCCCUUUUCCCAGGAAUGUCUAGGGGAGACAGAGCCAAAGACUGCAUCCAGGUGAACAAAGGUCCUUUCACCAGCAAGCUUCCUGCCCUAAUGUUCUUCAAGGGAGGUGAUUGGAGAAACGGUUGUGAGUCAGCCUUUUCCUCACAGGAAUUCUGUCUUGGAAGAAAGAGAAAUAAUAUAGAAAAUGUGGCUUAUAACCUGGUAGCCAACUGCUUUUGUGAACGGUCAGUUACCACUCUUGUUCUGGAAUCUAUCUGCAAAUGUGUAUGUGUGCUGCUGCCACAAUAGACAGCGAGUCACAAAACACACACAGUGAAAUGGCACAAGGUUUCUCUAAAGGCAGCGGACACAGAAGGCUACACAGAGGAGGAAGAAGUAUGGCAUUUCCAGCUGGACGUGCAGGACCCUGCGUUCCCCAGAUCCUCCCAGGCACGCGCAUCUGCCAGUCUCCCUGGCAGAGGAACAUACUGUCAGGCAUAUGAACACACCCUUUGGCACCCUGAAGGGCUUUACCCCUUCUUCUACUCUCCUGCCUGUUCUGAGGACCAUGCCCCAGGUGCAGACAUGCAAAACAGCAGAGACCCUCUGACUGCCCACUGCCUGCCAGGUCUGGGGACACAGAAGAAGGGCAAGCAGUUCCUGUGCGGAAGGAGGAAGAGCCAUGAUGAGCACAGGCUUUGAGGCAGCACUGAGUCCUCGGACUCUCCUGCAACUGGGUGCCCUGUCUCCCCUGUGCCUCCACAGCUCUGUCUACGCUGCAUGGAAAAGGGUACCUUCAGCUCCUGAGUGCAACACAGAGAUGGGAACAAACCAAGCCAUUAGCACAAGAAGGGCCAGGACAGCUAAACUUAGCUAAUUGAACGACCAAGUUUUGGGAGAAAGAUUAUGGAGUCUGGGCUUCUUUCCCUUUGGCCCAUCUUUAGAACGGGAGGAUGCUCCUUAUUCAGUCCCCUGAGGUUUUCCUGCACCGAGCUCUUGCAUACAACAAGAAUAGCACCAGGCCAUAGAGAAUAAUUUGCCAGGCAAUUAUUAAGUGUUUUCCGAAAGUGAUGUUGCUUUGCAAAAUGUUUUAAAAUAAAUUGGAUGUGCAUUUCCACUUAGAGAUGAAGAGAAGCAUAUCACUUGGCUUCAUUUAAUAAUGAUUUAGAUGAUGGUAAGAAGAGCAAGUAAAUUCAAAUUAGAUUAUUGAUUUUCAUGAUUAUAAAUUAGAAUCCAACAAAAAUAAAUGACAGAUAUUUUUCUAUAUGAAUACAUUUAAUUCUUAGAAAGUUGCCUGAAAAAUACAUAUUAGCCACUCUAUGUGAUGAAUGGAUAUGCUCACAUUGGUAUUUAUAAAGUCCUUGCAGAGUCCAGGUCUUCACAAUGAAUUACCAGACAGUCAUUUUUCUCAGUGACGCUGGAGGACAACGUAAUGGAUUCUUCUGCACGGCGCCUGUUUCUGCCCGUUAGUGGCUGCCCUGCCUUAUGAUAGAUGUUUUCCAGUCAACUUAUAGAACUUGCUAAUAAUAACUCAAUAUUCAUGGAGUAAUCUGCAGUGCUAAUGAAAUUAAAUUAAAAAACAAAUCUUAGUCUAUAUUUUUAGGCCAGGUGUGGUGGCAGACGCCUGUAAUCCCAGCUACUUGGGGGGCUGAAGCAAGAGGGUCUCGUUUGUGUGUGUGCGUGUGUGUGUGUGUGUUUGUGUUUCAUCCAUCAUUAUACUGAUUCCAUUUCUCACUUAAAUUAAGGGUGUUUUCAAUGUAAAAGAUGGAGGUGAGAAGGGAGAUUUUAUCAUCCACUCAAGGUUGCUUCCAGGUAAGAGGUUUGGAAUCAGGAGCUCCCACCUAGAAACGAUGUUUCUGCCUCUGGACAGCACGAAGGCAAUUGCCAACAAGGUUUCUCAUGCCUCAUUGUACCCGGAUCAUGGUUUUGUCAAGGUAGAAUAAGGGACUAAUACAUUUCGGCAAAUGCAAGUAUAUUUGUUCAAAUCAUAAAUGAAUGAAAGCCAACUCAUACAUUCUUUUAUCCUAAAGUUUUAAAUCAUGCUCAUGUAUGUGAACAGUUUAUAUAGUGUCUACCUGUGAAGCACGAACCAUAAGACUGUGGAAAGUCCCUGUGUCAUACUAAGAACAUUCUUGGGAUUCUCCUAAACUGCAUGACUCUCAGACUGUCUACAGCCUGGAAUUUAACUCAGCCACCACUUCCUUUACCUUUAUCCCUUCAUCCCUUAUCCAGAUGUACUAGAAGACUCAGAACAAAUCCCAGACCUGCUGAACAGCAUGGUGUCUAGCACCUCCUGGGUACCACUUAGGUCUUCUGUAGAUGCAGCUGCCUCUGCAGUGAUCAGCCCUGCAAGGCUCCAGCUGACUUCACACAGAGACACAGAGUCUUACUCUGUUGCCCAGGCUGGAGUGCAGUGGUAUGAUC